RNAcentral lists this ribosomal RNA (253 nucleotides) under uncultured bacterium. RNAcentral's name for it is "partial 16S ribosomal RNA". It matches the Rfam family "Bacterial small subunit ribosomal RNA", at positions 524 to 776 of the family's 1533-position model. The record is from RNAcentral.
UACGAAGGUCCCGAGCGUUAUCCGGAUUUAUUGGGUUUAAAGGGCGCGUAGGCGGGUGGUCAAGUCCGAGGUGAAAUCCUCCAGCUUAACUGGAGAAGUGCCCCGGAUACUGAUUGUCUCGAGGAGGGUAGGGGCAUCUGGAACUAGCGGUGGAGCGGUGAAAUGCGUUGAUAUCGCUAGGAACUCCAAUGGCGAAGGCAAGGUGCUGGACCCUUUCUGACGCUGAGGCGCGAAAGCCAGGGGAGCGAACGGG